This 453-nucleotide ribosomal RNA is filed under the name uncultured bacterium. RNAcentral describes it as "partial 16S ribosomal RNA". It matches the Rfam family "Bacterial small subunit ribosomal RNA", at positions 29 to 507 of the family's 1533-position model. The record is from RNAcentral.
AUGAACGCUGACAGAAUGCUUAACACCUGCAAGUCUACUUGAACUUCGGUUUGGGUGGCGGACGGGUGAGUAACGCGUAAAGAACUUGCCUCACAGUUAGGGACAACAUUUGGAAACGAAUGCUAAUACCUGAUAUUAUGAUUUUAGGGCAUCCUAAGAUUAUGAAAGCUAUAUGCACUGUGAGAGAGCUUUGCGUCCCAUUAGCUAGUUGGAGAGGUAACGGCUCACCAAGGCGAUGAUGGGUAGCCGGCCUGAGAGGGUGAACGGCCACAAGGGGACUGAGACACGGCCCUUACUCCUACGGGAGGCAGCAGUGGGGAAUAUUGGACAAUGGACCAAAAGUCUGAUCCAGCAAUUCUGUGUGCACGAUGACGUUUUUCGGAAUGUAAAGUGCUUUCAGUUGGGAAGAAAAAAAUGACGGUACCAACAGAAGAAGUGACGGCUAAAUACGUG